CGCUGUGAUGCGAAUACCAACACGAACGAGAUUAACAGCAACAUCUGAUGCGUGCGCCAAAGCGCAAACUCAUGACGCGAACUCGUUUUUACAACAGCUGAUGC
Leishmania major strain Friedlin is the source of this 104-nucleotide small nucleolar RNA. The record is from RefSeq and is a predicted model, not a curated record. NCBI's taxonomy places the organism in Eukaryota, Euglenozoa, Kinetoplastea, Trypanosomatida, Trypanosomatidae.